This 521-nucleotide ribosomal RNA is filed under the name uncultured bacterium. RNAcentral's name for it is "bacterial SSU rRNA". It matches the Rfam family "Bacterial small subunit ribosomal RNA", at positions 27 to 518 of the family's 1533-position model. The record is from RNAcentral.
GGACGAACGCUGGCGGCGUGCCUAAUACAUGCAAGUCGAACGGUCUUUCUAUGGAAGCUUGCUUCCACUGAGAAGAUAGUGGCGAACGGGUGAGUAACGACGUGGGUAAACCUGCCCAUAAGAGGGGGAUAACAUCCGGAAACGGGUGCUAAUACCGCAUAGUUUUCUUGAUCGCAUGAUCGGGAAAGGAAAGACGGCCUUUGUGCUGUCGCUUAUGGAUGGACCCGCGGCGUAUUAGUUAGUUGGUGAGGUAACGGCUCACCAAGACGAUGAUACGUAGCCGACCUGAGAGGGUGAUCGGCCACAUUGGGACUGAGACGCGGCCCAAACUCCUACGGGAGGCAGCAGUAGGGAAUCUUCCGCAAUGGACGAAAGUCUGACGGAGCAACGCCGCGUGAGUGAAGAAAAGGUUUUCGGAUCGUAAAACUCUGUUGUCAGAGAAGAACAAGUUGGAGAGUAACUGCUCCAGCCUUGACGGUAUCUGACCAGAAAGCCACGGCUAACUACGUGCCAGCAGCCGC